Molecule: small RNA, 117 nt
Filed under: Marmota monax (woodchuck)
Lineage: Eukaryota; Metazoa; Chordata; Mammalia; Rodentia; Sciuridae
Source: RNAcentral
GCUUGGCUUGGUGGCUCAGGCCUUUAAUCCCAGCCACAUGGGAGGCUGAGACAGGAGGAUUACUUGAGCCCAGGAGUUUGAGGUCAGCGUGGGCAACAUAGUGAGACACCAUCUUUU